This 189-nucleotide ribosomal RNA is filed under the name uncultured prokaryote. RNAcentral's name for it is "partial 16S ribosomal RNA". The record is from RNAcentral.
AUAAGCAGCUUGCAGACCCAUAAUGUCAAUAGAUGUGGUAGAAGUCGUCAUUUGGCGAGAAAGCUCAGUCUCAGGAGGAAGCGGAGCAGUCCAAAUGUUUUUGAGAUGGCAGCAACGGAAACCAUAACGAGCAUCAUCUUGAUUAAGCUCAUUAGGGUUAGCCUCGGUACGGUCAGGCAUCCACGGCGC